UUGGUGAAUCAAGGUACCGCGCUGUGACUCAUAUUCACAGUGAGGAAAGUCCGGGCUCCGCAGGGCAUGGUGCCGGGUAAUUCCCGGGCAGACAUCGUCUGACAGCAAGCGCAACAGAAAAUAUACCGCCUCUACGGUAAGGGUGAAAUGGUGCGGUAAGAGCGCACCGCAUGUGUGGUAACAAACGUGGCAAUGCAAGCCUCACCAGGAGCAAAGUCAAGCAGCGGUAGAAUGCCCCUUCAUAUACCGCGGGUAGACUGCAUAGACGCAACCGGUAACGGUUGUGCAAGAUAAAUGGUACCUCCGUAAUGAUUUUUACGUACAGAAUCCGGCUUAUGGUUCACUUUUUAG
RNAcentral lists this RNase P RNA (351 nucleotides) under Treponema sp. Its description in RNAcentral is "RNase P RNA component class A". It matches the Rfam family "Bacterial RNase P class A". From Rfam's summary of the family: Ribonuclease P (RNase P) is a ubiquitous endoribonuclease, found in archaea, bacteria and eukarya as well as chloroplasts and mitochondria. Its best characterised activity is the generation of mature 5'-ends of tRNAs by cleaving the 5'-leader elements of precursor-tRNAs. Cellular RNase Ps are ribonucleoproteins. Lineage: Bacteria; Pseudomonadati; Spirochaetota; Spirochaetia; Treponematales; Treponemataceae. The record is from RNAcentral.